UUUUAGUGACUGAGUGGCGGACGGGUGAGUAACGCGUGGGUAACCUGCCUCAUACAGGGGGAUAACAGUUAGAAAUGACUGCUAAUACCGCAUAAGACCACAGCACCGCAUGGUGCAGGGGUAAAAACUCCGGUGGUAUGAGAUGGACCCGCGUCUGAUUAGGUAGUUGGUGGGGUAACGGCCUACCAAGCCAACGAUCAGUAGCCGACCUGAGAGGGUGACCGGCCACAUUGGGACUGAGACACGGCCCAAACUCCUACGGGAGGCAGCAGUGGGGAAUAUUGCACAAUGGGGGAAACCCUGAUGCAGCGACGCCGCGUGAGCGAUGAAGUAUUUCGGUAUGUAAAGCUCUAUCAGCAGGGAAGAAAAUGACGGUACCUGACUAAGAAGCACCGGCUAAAUACGUGCCAGCAGCCGCGGUAAUACGUAUGGUGCAAGCGUUAUCCGGAUUUACUGGGUGUAAAGGGAGCGUAGACGGAGUGGCAAGUCUGAUGUGAAAACCCGGGGCUCAACCCCGGGACUGCAUUGGAAACUGUCAAUCUAGAGUACCGGAGAGGUAAGCGGAAUUCCUAGUGUAGCGGUGAAAUGCGUAGAUAUUAGGAGGAACACCAGUGGCGAAGGCGGCUUACUGGACGGUAACUGACGUUGAGGCUCGAAAGCGUGGGGAGUAAACAGGAUUAGAUACCCUGGUAGUCCACGCCGUAAACGAUGACUACUAGGUGUCG
Molecule: ribosomal RNA, 725 nt
Filed under: uncultured bacterium
Lineage: Bacteria
Description: bacterial SSU rRNA
Rfam family: Bacterial small subunit ribosomal RNA
Source: RNAcentral